UUACCGGAGGUCUUGAGCAAUACCAGAUAGUCUGUGCUAACAAUGUAACUUUUGGUGGGGGACCUUUGGACAUGUGGUACCACUCAAGCUCCAGAGGGGUUAGAGACAGGGUAGUCACAUGGGUGAACAGAAUGUCCGAAUGGCCAACUCCCAGUAAAAACUCUGGACAACAAAGCUUGGGUCCUAGACAGUGCAAUACACAAAAGAAAUAUGAGCUAUAAUUAUUGGAAUGAAGAAACUGUCAUGAUUACAGAGGGAGAGGAAAAGGCCCAACACCUGCUUGUCAGGGCUCCUGGAUCACGCCCUGCUGCCUGCUGACCUAUAUUGGACUCAAGCCCUUCUUCUGGCAUGCUCACCUGUUAACCCACCUAUCAGCCCACACCUCUGACUGCUGGCUGCUCCCCAUUGAGCCUGAAAUACUGUGCUAUCUGCCUGUACCCUUUUGCAUAAGCUGGGGUUGGGGUAUCUCAGAUUUCUACCUGGGCCUGGUCAAGAUUGCCACAUACCUCACCUCUUCUGUUCUGGUCCUCAUCCUGUGUUUCUGGACAAAAAUAACAUUUGAGUAGAAAGCUUUUCUACUUGUUGACAUAGUUGAACAGAUUUUGCUUUAUUGAGAUGAAAUGGAGCCUAAAUUUAUCUGGAAAUGUGUGGAAUCAGUAGAGAGAAGUAAACACAACUCGAAGAAAGCGGGAAACCCCUGUGUACAAUUCAGCUUUUUCACUCCCAGGGAGUUGGGCAUGAUCGUAAAGAAUGAUGUUUUCAAGCCUGCCAAUAACAGAACACGUCUGUAUCCAUUGUGGAUGGGCUUCUGUUGAGAAAGCUUCCUUUUCGCCCAAGUAGAGGAGCUCUUCACUGCCCUAAGAUCCUGC
Molecule: long non-coding RNA, 869 nt
Filed under: Pan troglodytes (chimpanzee)
Lineage: Eukaryota; Metazoa; Chordata; Mammalia; Primates; Hominidae
Description: long non-coding RNA NONPTRT005801
Source: RNAcentral